GUAAGACAAGCGCACCACUCAGCUUCAACAAAUAGUGGGCUACCAACGCUCGCGAUUCAAAUUGGUCCAUGUUACCCUGUUCACUGACUAGACACUCAUAAGGAUUAAGGUACUGAAAGGGAAGCAGAUCUGUUGCAAGAUGAAUGGAUUUAGCAAUGAAGGGACGCGUGCUCUUCUGUCUCACGGGUCAGUGUCAUCAGACGCACAGUGCCUACCUGGCAACCAACAGUGAGCCCAGCCGCGCAUUCCACACAUUUGUGCUCGUGGCGUAUUCUGACAGCACCCACACAUGCUGCGGUGAGUCAUCAUUCCCUUCAAGACGCGGCCGUCGUUUCUCUGAUCAAGACAGCAAUUGUGCAUGGCCUUUAAUGCAGCAUCAAACUAGACUGGCUCAUGAUUUUCCUCGAGCCACUGUGUGGAAUGAGUCCCAAGUAUGAUAGGGCUGAUGAAUCCCUUCAGCGUCCUGUUGACAUAGCUGGUCAUGGUGUUUAGGGCUCCGUUUUAGAUAUUAUAAUCAAGUCACAUCAGAUCCAUGGGUUCUCAGAGUUGUCUUCGGGCGUGUUCAUUUAAUGCCGCCAUGGGUUUUUAAUGAGGGGCACAUUGUAGAGAAAGGCAAAUAGCGAUGUGAUUUUAAUAGGCUCACUAUGGUCCACUGGCAAGGGAAAAUAGUCAUUGCAUCGGUCCUCUUGGAGCGAAUCAUUUAAGUAAGCGAGGGGAGCUGGGAUGUUGCCUGCUCGUCAGAGUUCAGGCUUAUAGCGGGGCUGUGUCGACGAGGUGGCAUGUCGUCUUUCAAUGUAGAUAAGGUGUUUGGAAUACAUUAACCUUUUCCUCAUUUGUUUUGUGUGUGUACCCUUUUUG
RNAcentral lists this long non-coding RNA (858 nucleotides) under Scophthalmus maximus (turbot). RNAcentral describes it as "lncRNA (ENSSMAG00000033071.1)". The record is from RNAcentral. Lineage: Eukaryota; Metazoa; Chordata; Actinopteri; Pleuronectiformes; Scophthalmidae.